GGGUCGGAUGUUCCUCGGUUAUCUAAAUUAUACUGUGAAUAUAAAGGUGUCGGUUCGAAUCCGGCUAGUCUCC
This 73-nucleotide transfer RNA is filed under the name Streptomyces phage Blueeyedbeauty. RNAcentral describes it as "tRNA-His". Lineage: Duplodnaviria; Heunggongvirae; Uroviricota; Caudoviricetes; Stanwilliamsviridae. The record is from RNAcentral.